ACAAAGAAGAGUUUGAUCCUGGCUCAGGAUGAACGCUAGCGGCAGGCUUAACACAUGCAAGUCGAGGGGCAGCGCGGGGUAGCAAUACUCUGGCGGCGACCGGCGGAAGGGUGCGUAACGCGUGAGCAACUUGCCCGUCACUGGGGGAUAGGCACUGGAAACGGUGUGUAAUACCCCAUAACAUAUGGAUUCACAUGGAUUUAUAUUGAAAGAUUCGUUGGUGACGGAUGGGCUCGCGUAACAUUAGCUAGUCGGCGGGGUAACGGCCCACCGAGGCUACGAUGUUUAGGGGUUCUGAGAGGAAGGUCCCCCACACUGGAACUGAGACACGGUCCAGACUCCUACGGGAGGCAGCAGUGAGGAAUAUUGGUCAAUGGGCGGAAGCCUGAACCAGCCAUGCCGCGUGCAGGAAUAAGGCCCUAUGGGUCGUAAACUGCUUUUCCUUGAGGGCAAUAAGGGUCACGUGUGGCCCGAUGAGAGUAUCAGGGGAAUAAGCAUCGGCUAACUCCGUGCCAGCAGCCGCGGUAAUACGGAGGAUGCGAGCGUUAUCCGGAUUUAUUGGGUUUAAAGGGUGCGUAGGCGGAUUAUUAAGUCAGUGGUGAAAUACCCGUGCUCAACAUGGGCCGUGCCAUUGAUACUGGUAGUCUAGAGUUCCGUUGCCGUGGGAGGAAUGAGUAGUGUAGCGGUGAAAUGCAUAGAUAUUACUCAGAACACCGAUUGUGAAGACAUCUCACGAAGCGGCGACUGACGCUGAGGCACGAAAGCGUGGGGAUCGAACAGGAUUAGAUACCCUGGUAGUCCACGCAGUAAACGAUGAUGACUAACCGUUGGAAAGUAAUUUUCAGUGGCCAAGUGAAAGCGAUAAGUCAUCCACCUGGGGAGUACGACCGCAAGGUUGAAACUCAAAGGAAUUGACGGGGGCCCGCACAAGCGGAGGAACAUGUGGUUUAAUUCGAUGAUACGCGAGGAACCUUACCCGGGCUCGAACGGCAAG
This 994-nucleotide ribosomal RNA is filed under the name Bacteroidota bacterium. RNAcentral's name for it is "bacterial SSU rRNA". It matches the Rfam family "Bacterial small subunit ribosomal RNA", at positions 1 to 992 of the family's 1533-position model. Lineage: Bacteria; Pseudomonadati; Bacteroidota. The record is from RNAcentral.